This 33-nucleotide ribosomal RNA is filed under the name Diploon cuspidatum. RNAcentral describes it as "partial 28S ribosomal RNA". Lineage: Eukaryota; Viridiplantae; Streptophyta; Magnoliopsida; Ericales; Sapotaceae. RNAcentral also lists the same sequence under 23 other names. The record is from RNAcentral.
CCCAGGUCAGGCGGGAUUACCCGCUGAGUUUAA